UGAUGAUUGGAAGACCAGCAAUUUAGAAGGGUCCAGAUUCUUGAAAACAUGUAUCUUCUUAUUUUCAAUUUAAUGCAAGAAGCUAAAGACAAAUCCUAAUGGAAGGUACAAAUCCUGGACUUCAGAGAUCAUAUUUUUCCCUUUCAAUAACUAUACCUUUAAAAAAAUACAUGCACAUGUAAGACCAUUAUGCCAUUCUUGUUCAGACUUAUUGGUUGGUUAAUAAAUAUCAAUGUGAAUUUAUAAUUAAAUACAAGUUACUUUACUUACUUUAUCUUUAAUGUACUGAAAUGUAUAUAUAUUAAUGUGACUUGGCAGGAUGUUAAGAGUUUUUAUUUUAAAUUUUUUUGCAACCUGAUAAAUAUUUUUUUAAUUCAAAUGACUGUGAUUGUGGUUUUGUGCUAUUAUUGUUAAGGUAUUAUAAUAAAGAAUUAUAGUGACAACAUAUAAUGGAAAUAGUCAUUUAAAAACUGCAAAAUACCUUCUUAAAAGCACUGAAAAGCAGCAUUUCUGCUGCAGUUAUGGAACAAAUAAACUUUUUUUCCUGU
Molecule: long non-coding RNA, 548 nt
Organism: Rhinichthys klamathensis goyatoka
Lineage: Eukaryota; Metazoa; Chordata; Actinopteri; Cypriniformes; Leuciscidae
Exons: 2
Source: RefSeq, a predicted model, not a curated record